This 775-nucleotide ribosomal RNA is filed under the name uncultured Neocallimastigales. RNAcentral describes it as "partial large subunit ribosomal RNA". It matches the Rfam family "Eukaryotic large subunit ribosomal RNA", at positions 26 to 628 of the family's 3401-position model. Lineage: Eukaryota; Fungi; Neocallimastigomycota; Neocallimastigomycetes; Neocallimastigales. The record is from RNAcentral.
CGCAUCUGUGCAUGCAGCAUAUCAAUAAGCGGAGGAAAAGAAACUAACAAGGAUUCCCCUAGUAACGGCGAGUGAAGCGGGAAGAGCUCAAAUUUGAAAUCUUAGAGGGUUUCCCUUUACGAAUUGUAGUUUAAAGAAGUGUUUUCUGUUGAGGUUUUGGUAAAAGUUCUUUGGAAUAGGACAUCAUAGAGGGUGAGAAUCCCGUAUUUGACCUUUACUUUCAACUUUGUGAUACAGCUUUCAAAGAGUCGGAUUGUUUGGGAAUGCAGUCCAAAAUGGGUGGUAAAUUUCAUCUAAAGCUAAAUAUUGGCGAGAGACCGAUAGCGAACAAGUACCGUGAGGGAAAGAUGAAAAGAACUUUGAAAAGAGAGUUAAACAGUACGUGAAAUUGUCAAAAGGGAAGCGUUUGACACCAGUGUUGUUUUUCUGAAAAUCAAUUAAAGAACUGUUUAUGCUAAGUUGUUUAGACUUUAUCAGCUAUCUGUUUAGUUUUGAGCUUUUCUUUAAUGCACUUUUCAGUUAACAAGUCAACAUCAAUUUCUCUUGCUGUAAAAAAGCUUGAGGAAGGUGGCUUGAGAUUCGUCUUAAGUGUUUAUAGCCUCUUGCCUAUGCAGUCGGAGAGAUUGAGGUCUGCAGCGUAGAUCCUUCGGGGCUAAAUGCAUUUGUGCUAAGUUAUAGCAUUUUAUAGACAACUUGUUGACUAUGAUUUGUCUUGUAGCUUACUCGCUUAUGUUAUUUUACCUACGCUUAGGAUGUUGAGUCGUAGAGCACGCAG